The submitters of this non-coding RNA (184 nucleotides) gave its source as unclassified sequences. The record is from Rfam.
GAUCAGGCCGGCAGCCUACUCCAUUCUUAUAGUCUGUCAGGCUAAUAAAGUAAGGAGGACCAAAUAUCCGCGCGGCUUGCGGUACAGCAGUGUGGAGACCUGCUGCAACGUCCGCGGAGUUCCGCUCUCCGCGGGCAAGGGGUCACAGGCAGAGGCCGUGACACCAAAGCCGAUCACUAUGGCG